RNAcentral lists this unclassified non-coding RNA (235 nucleotides) under plant metagenome. RNAcentral describes it as "partial contains small subunit ribosomal RNA, internal transcribed spacer 1, and 5.8S ribosomal RNA". The record is from RNAcentral.
UCUCCGUAGGUGAACCUGCGGAAGGAUCAUUAAAGUUAUAGUCCCCCGGCCCCUCCGGGCUGGGGUCUUCUAUACCACCCUUUGUUUAUUACACCUUUGUUGCUUUGGCAGGCCUGCCCUCGGGCUGCUGGCUCCGGCCGGCUCGUGCCUGCCAGAGGACCUAAACUCUGUUUGUAUAUGAAGUCUGAGUACUAUAUAAUAGUUAAAACUUUCAACAACGGAUCUCUUGGUUCUG